AUGUACAUUCUGGUCUAUGUUGAUGACAUCAUCCUUGUUAGUUCGUCUGCUGCUGCUACGGAUCGACUUGUGUCCUCUCUUGGUGUUGAGUUUGCUGUUAAGGAUCUUGGGAGCCUGCAUUAUUUUCUGGGUCUGGAGGUUCUUCCUUCUGAUGGCGGAUUGACUCUUUCUCAGAAGAAGUACUCCCAGGACCUCCUACGUCGUGCAGGUAUGUUGCAGUGCAAGCCUGCUACGACUCCCAUGUCCGUCACAGACAAACUGACCGCUCUUGCUGGUGACUUGCUAUCUCCUGAGGAUGCCACUGAGUACCGCAGCAUUGUUGGUGGGUUGCAGUACUUGCUUAUCACUCGACCAGACAUAUCGUUCGCAGUAAACCGUGUGUGCCAGUAUCUUCAUGCGUCGCGUGAUUCUCACUGGUCAGCUGUUAAGCGCAUCUUGCGCUAUGUUCGUCACACUGGUUCAUAUGGUCUUCAUCUUCAGUCGGCGCCUUCUAGACCGAUCUCUGCUUUUUCUUAUGCUGACUGGGCUGGUAGUCCUGAUGACAGGCGAUCCACGGGGGGACAUGUUGUGUUCUUUGGACCUAACUUGAUCGCCUGGCAAGCUCGCAAGCAAGCUACGGUGUCUCGGAGUAGUACUGAAGCUGAGUACAAGGCCGUUGCUAAUGCCACAGCUGAGAUCAUGUGGUGCAGUCAUUGCUUCGGGAGUUGA
This 708-nucleotide ribosomal RNA is filed under the name Triticum aestivum (bread wheat). RNAcentral's name for it is "partial small subunit ribosomal RNA". Lineage: Eukaryota; Viridiplantae; Streptophyta; Magnoliopsida; Poales; Poaceae. The record is from RNAcentral.